AACGAACGCUGGCGGCAGGCCUAACACAUGCAAGUCGAGCGCCCCGCAAGGGGAGCGGCGGACGGGUGAGUAACGCGUGGGAACGUGCCCCUUUCUACGGAAUAGCCUCGGGAAACUGGGAGUAAUACCGUAUAAGCCCUACGGGGGAAAGAUUUAUCGGGAAGGGAUCGGCCCGCGUUGGAUUAGGUAGUUGGUGGGGUAAUGGCCUACCAAGCCGACGAUCCAUAGCUGGUUUGAGAGGAUGAUCAGCCACACUGGGACUGAGACACGGCCCAGACUCCUACGGGAGGCAGCAGUGGGGAAUCUUAGACAAUGGGCGCAAGCCUGAUCUAGCCAUGCCGCGUGAGCGAUGAAGGCCUUAGGGUUGUAAAGCUCUUUCAGGGGGGAAGAUAAUGACUGUACCCCCAGAAGAAGCCCCGGCUAACUCCGUGCCAGCCGCCGCCGUAA
This 447-nucleotide ribosomal RNA is filed under the name uncultured bacterium. Its description in RNAcentral is "partial 16S ribosomal RNA". It matches the Rfam family "Bacterial small subunit ribosomal RNA", at positions 29 to 523 of the family's 1533-position model. The record is from RNAcentral.